UACGAAGGGGGCUAGCGUUGUUCGGAUUUACUGGGCGUAAAGCGCACGUAGGCGGAUUGUUAAGUCAGGGGUGAAAUCCCAGAGCUCAACUCUGGAACUGCCUUUGAUACUGGCAACCUAGAGACUGGAAGAGGUUAGUGGAAUUCCCAGUGUAGAGGUGAAAUUCGUAGAUAUUGGGAAGAACACCAGUGGCGAAGGCGGCUAACUGGUCCAGCACUGACGCUGAGGUGCGAAAGCGUGGGGAGCAAACAGG
RNAcentral lists this ribosomal RNA (253 nucleotides) under uncultured bacterium. RNAcentral's name for it is "partial 16S ribosomal RNA". It matches the Rfam family "Bacterial small subunit ribosomal RNA", at positions 524 to 776 of the family's 1533-position model. The record is from RNAcentral.